Molecule: ribosomal RNA, 477 nt
Filed under: uncultured anaerobic ammonium-oxidizing bacterium
Lineage: Bacteria
Description: bacterial SSU rRNA
Rfam family: Bacterial small subunit ribosomal RNA
Source: RNAcentral
UUCGCAAUGCCCGAAAGGGUGACGAAGCGACGCCGCGUGAGCGAAGAAGGCCUUAGGGUUGUAAAGCUCUGUCGAGGGUUAUGAAAUUUAGAUGGGUUAAUACCUCAUUUAUUUGACAAAGGCCCAGAAGGAAGUCACGGCUAACUCUGUGCCAGCAGCCGCGGUAAUACAGAGGUGGCAAGCGUUGUUCGGUAUUAUUGGGCGUAAAGAGCACGUAGGUGGUUUUGUAAGUCAGGUGUGAAAGCCUUCUGUUUAAAGGAAGAACGGCAUCUGAAACUGCAGAUCUUGAGUGUAGGAGGGGAGAGUGGAACUUCUGGUGGAGCGGUGAAAUGCGUAGAUAUCAGAAGGAACGUCGGCGGCGAAAGCGACUCUCUGGCCUAUUACUGACACUGAGUGUGCGAAAGUUAGGGGAGCAAACGGGAUUAGAUACCCCGGUAGUCCUAACUGUAAACGAUGGGCACUAAGUAGAGGGGUUUU